RNAcentral lists this ribosomal RNA (440 nucleotides) under uncultured bacterium. RNAcentral describes it as "partial 16S ribosomal RNA". It matches the Rfam family "Bacterial small subunit ribosomal RNA", at positions 339 to 795 of the family's 1533-position model. The record is from RNAcentral.
CUACGAGGCGCAGCAGUGGGGAAUCUUGCGCAAUGGGCGAAAGCCUGACGCAGCAACGCCGCGUGCGGGAAGAAGGCUUUCGGGCUGUAAACCGCUUUCAGUAGGAACGAAACUGACGGUACCUACAGAAGAAGGAGCGGCCAACUAUGUGCCAGCAGCCGCGGUGACACAUAGGCUCCAAGCGUUGUCCGGAUUUAUUGGGCGUAAAGAGCUCGUAGGCGGUUGAGUAAGUCGAGUGUGAAAACUUCGGGCUUAACCCGAAGACGCCACUCGAUACUGCUCUGACUUGAGUUCGGUAGGGGAGUGGGGAAUUCCUUGUGUAGCGGUGAAAUGCGCAGAUAUAAGGAGGAACACCGGUGGCGAAGGCGCCACUCUGGACCGAAACUGACGCUGAGGAGCGAAAGCGUGGGUAGCAAACAGGAUUAGAUACCCGAGUAGUC